GAUGAACGCUAGCGGCAGGCUUAACACAUGCAAGUCGAGGGGUAACAGAGAGUGCUUGCACUUUGCUGACGACCGGCGCACGGGUGAGUAACGCGUAUACAAUUUACCUUAUACAGGGGGAUAGCCUUUAGAAAUGAAGAUUAAUACCCCAUGGUUUAUUAGAAUCUCCUGAUUUUAAUAAUAAAGAUUUAUCGGUAUAAGAUGAGUAUGCGUUCUAUUAGCUAGAUGGUAAGGUAACGGCUUACCAUGGCAACGAUAGAUAGGGGCCCUGAGAGGGGGAUCCCCCACACUGGUACUGAGACACGGACCAGACUCCUACGGGAGGCAGCAGUGAGGAAUAUUGGGCAAUGGAGGCAACUCUGACCCAGCCAUGCCGCGUGCAGGAAGACUGCCCUAUGGGUUGUAAACUGCUUUUAUAGAGGAAGAAACCCUCCCACGUGUGGGAGGCUGACGGUACUCUACGAAUAAGGACCGGCUAACUCCG
RNAcentral lists this ribosomal RNA (484 nucleotides) under uncultured Flavobacteriaceae bacterium. Its description in RNAcentral is "bacterial SSU rRNA". It matches the Rfam family "Bacterial small subunit ribosomal RNA", at positions 28 to 505 of the family's 1533-position model. Lineage: Bacteria; Pseudomonadati; Bacteroidota; Flavobacteriia; Flavobacteriales; Flavobacteriaceae. The record is from RNAcentral.